This 589-nucleotide long non-coding RNA is filed under the name Homo sapiens (human). RNAcentral describes it as "HSALNT0325253". Lineage: Eukaryota; Metazoa; Chordata; Mammalia; Primates; Hominidae. The record is from RNAcentral.
CAGAAAUUCAUGAUCCUUCUUUUAAGAGCUGCAUGGAUUUGGAGUCUUAUCCUCACUAGAAGAGAGGAAUGCACCCAAUGGAAAAGAGGAGAGCAACCAAAGUCUAAGCUAAGAGCAUAGUUUCAUUUCAAAACAGAUACAAAGCUAUGAGCAUGUAUAUGCAGAGGUAGAUCAACCUGGAAGCUACUACAAUAGUCCAGGUGAGACAUCAAGAGGACAACUGAGGAAAUAAAGUGGACAUGGAGAAGAGGGAGAAGAUUCAACUAUUUAUACAGUUUGAUGAGGCAGGAUACCAUGCUGUGGAGACCCAUUUGGCAAGAAACUAAAGGCAGCCACCAUCCAAAUGCUAGGAAAAAGCUACAGCUUUCUGUCUGAUGGCAAAGGAGACACUGAAUCCAGUCAACAAUAACAGGAGUUUGAUGGAAGAUCCAUUCCCCAGUGGAGCCUCAGAUAACACCUCAAGUCUGGCCAACAUUCUGACUGUAAACUUAUGAGAGACCCUGAAGCAGAGAAUUCAGCUAAUCCAUGCCUGGGUUUCUGACUCUCAAAAAUUCUGAGAUAAUAAAUGCAUGUUGUUUUAUGCCUUUAA